GGGGCUGUUUGGUUUUGACAGCAGGUAGAAGGGGUAAGUAAGCAUGUCGAGCGGGGUGAAAACGGCUCGUUAAUAACGGUUCACACACACAAUAACUGGCGAAUAUAACUACGCUUUCGCUGCCUGAUCGAAGUAUAGUAGAUUAACGGCUUAAUCCCGAUACAAGGUAUUGGGACGAAACAUCCUCCAAAGGCCGUCGCUCCGAGGCCGAUGAUCAGAGGGUGCAGCUAAAUCGGGGAUAGUGUUGAUUAGCCUCGUAAUCAGCAUGAAAUUAAAGAGGAUAAGGCAGCAGUUGGUAGCUUCGGUCUUGCCGCUGCACGAAAACCCAAACGAAGAUAAACAUGUAGAAAGCUUAUUCAUUCCUUGUUUGGACGAGGGUUCGACUCCCUCCAGCUCCAC
RNAcentral lists this transfer-messenger RNA (399 nucleotides) under Bacteroidetes bacterium ADurb.Bin174. Its description in RNAcentral is "transfer-messenger RNA, SsrA". It matches the Rfam family "transfer-messenger RNA". From Rfam's summary of the family: Bacterial tmRNA, also known as 10Sa RNA or SsrA, is named for its dual tRNA and mRNA-like properties. Lineage: Bacteria; Pseudomonadati; Bacteroidota. The record is from RNAcentral.